This 1917-nucleotide long non-coding RNA is filed under the name Sorghum bicolor (sorghum). RNAcentral describes it as "long non-coding RNA (SBIC_LNC013206)". Lineage: Eukaryota; Viridiplantae; Streptophyta; Magnoliopsida; Poales; Poaceae. The record is from RNAcentral.
CACGGUAACGAGGCCACUUCGAGACGAAUUUAUUAAACCUAAUUAAUGCAUCAUUAACACACAGUAGCACUUAAGACUAAUUAUGGACUAACUAGUCUGAUUUCCAACCAUACUGUAUAAAUAAGUUUAUUUUUUUUAUCUAUAUUUAGUACUCCAUGCAUGUGUCCAAACAUUCCAUGUGACGGGUGAAAACUUUUUGGGUAGAAAACUAAAACAAAGCCUUAGGCGCUUGCGUUGAGGAGGUGUAAAGAUUUUGGGUACUCUUGCGUUUUUAUUUGGCAAUUAUUGUCCAACCAUGGACUAACUAGGCUUAAAAGACUUGUCUCGCAAAUUACAGGUAAACCGUAUAAUUAGUUAUUUUUAUCUAUAUUUAAUAUUUCAUGCAUGUGCCAUAAAAUUUGAUGUGAUGUGAAAUUUUGAAAAGUUUUUAGGUUUUGGGGUGAAUUGGUUUCAAUUUUUUUUUUGCAAAAUGGACAUUGUAGAAUUUUCUUUUGUAUUUGACAAAUAUUAUCCAAUUAUGGACUAACUAGACUCAAAAGAUUUGUCUCGCAAAUUACAGGUAAAUUAUAUAAUUAUUUAUUUAUUUUAUCUAUAUUUAAUACUUCAUAUAUGUGCUGCAAGAUUCGAUGUGACGAGAAAUCUGAAAAACUUUACAAAUGUUGUAAAACUAAACAAGACCCUUACAUAAGGAUGGCAACGGGUCGGGUUUGGAUCGGGUGGAGUCUCCGUGCACCCAAAACCGAAACUCGAAGUCGAAACCCGAAACCAAAACCGAAACCGAUUCGGAUGGAAAUUCAGUACCAAAACCAAACCUGCGGAUACCCGAAACCCGAACGAACGGAUACCCGAAACCAGAAUGGUUAUCCGAAACCCACGGAUAUAUAGAUAUAUUCACAUGUAUAAACAAAAUGCAACAAAUAAUAAAUAUUUUUAUGAGUUAACUUUGAAUAAAUUUAAUAAUCUAAGUAAAUAAAUUAUUAUUAUCAUAUUAUAAAAUAUAAAUUUUAAUUCCAAAUGAUUUAUUUCGGAUAUCCAUUAGAUAUCCACGGGUGGAAAACCAAAACCGAAACCAAUCCCGAUCGGUUUCGGGGCCUCGAACCCGAAAACCGUGGAUGAAAAACUACUACCAAAACUAAAACCGCUCGACCCGAAACCCACGGAUAUCCAAACCAAAACCGACUCGCUGCCAUCCUUACCCUUACAGCAUCCGCCUCUCACAUGACAUGCGGUGGCUGCGCGGUUCACGUCAGGCUCCGGCUAGUUCUCCCCAAAUUUGGCCCUUUUGAUUUUUUUUUUGUUUUGAGUACUGUAGUAUUUUUUUUAUUUAGCAAAUAUUGUCUAAUUAUAGACUAAUUAGACUUAAAAGAUCCAUCUUAUGAUUUAUAUGUAAACUAUAUAACUAUUUUUUUAUUUUUAUAUAUAUUUAAUGUUUUAUGUAUAUGUCGCAAGAUUUGAUAUGUCUGAGAAUUACGAGAAGUUUUGGUUUUUAAGGUGAAUGCCAUUUAUGAGCGCAAUCAGUAGGUCCCUGGCGACCGGCCGCUGACCACUGCCACUGGUCAAGGACUCAAGGGUAUCCCUGUCAUCCAUCUGGUCAGGCAGAGGCAACCCUGGCGGCUCUGUCUCUGCGGCCCUGUCUACGGACGGGCAUUGAAACCGGCCAGAUUCAUCCGUCACUCGCUCGCCCGGAUCUGCCGUCCGUCAGCUGGGCACAUCACGUACGACCGGCGCAAGCCGAGGUGUUGGGGAACGGACGGAUCGCGUCGCACCUGGCACCCGCCUCGCCGCGCCCCACGGCGCACGCGCGUUUAAGGCUUUAUUUAAGCCCGUGCCGGUCUCCUGCCGGCAGCCGGGGGCGCGCGUCGCUUGACCCGACCGCGCCGGGUUGGCAAUUGGCAUUUGCACCACCACUCGUGAGUC